AACGAACGCUGGCGGCAUGCCUAACACAUGCAAGUCGAACGAAGUCUUCGGACUUAGUGGCGCACGGGUGAGUAACGCGUGGAUAUCUGCCUUUUGGUUCGGAAUAACUCCGGGAAACUGGAGCUAAUACCGGAUGGUUCCUACGGGAUAAAGAUUUAUCGCCAAAAGAUGAGUCCGCGUACGAUUAGCUAGUUGGUGAGGUAAUGGCUCACCAAGGCGACGAUCGUUAGCUGGUCUGAGAGGACGACCAGCCACACUGGGACUGAGACACGGCCCAGACUCCUACGGGAGGCAGCAGUGGGGAAUAUUGGACAAUGGGGGGCAACCCUGAUCCAGCCAUGCCGCGUGAGUGAUGAAGGCCUUCGGGUUGUAAAGCUCUUUUGGUCGGGGACGAUGAUGACGGUACCCGCAGAAUAAGCCCCGGCUAACUUCGUGCCAGCAGCCGCGGUAAU
Molecule: ribosomal RNA, 452 nt
Filed under: uncultured bacterium
Lineage: Bacteria
Description: bacterial SSU rRNA
Rfam family: Bacterial small subunit ribosomal RNA
Source: RNAcentral